AGCUUGCUUUUGGAAGGUCAGCGGCGGACGGGUGAGUAACACGUGGGCAACCUGCCUGUGAGACUGGGAUAACUUCGGGAAACCGGAGCUAAUACCGGAUAAUAUAAGGAACCUCCUGGUUCUUUAUUGAAAGAUGGUUUCGGCUAUCACUCACAGAUGGGCCCGCGGCGCAUUAGCUAGUUGGUGAGGUAACGGCUCACCAAGGCGACGAUGCGUAGCCGACCUGAGAGGGUGAUCGGCCACACUGGGACUGAGACACGGCCCAGACUCCUACGGGAGGCAGCAGUAGGGAAUCUUCCACAAUGGACGAAAGUCUGAUGGAGCAACGCCGCGUGAGCGAUGAAGGCCUUCGGGUCGUAAAGCUCUGUUGUUAGGGAAGAACAAGUGCGAGAGUAACUGCUCGCACCUUGACGGUACCUAACCAGAAAGCCACGGCUAACUACGUGCCAGCAGCCGCGGUAAUACGUAGGUGGCAAGCGUUGUCCGGAAUUAUUGGGCGUAAAGCGCGCGCAGGUGGUCCUUUAAGUCUGAUGUGAAAGCCCACGGCUCAACCGUGGAGGGUCAUUGGAAACUGGGGGACUUGAGUGCAGAAGAGGAAAGUGGAAUUCCAAGUGUAGCGGUGAAAUGCGUAGAGAUUUGGAGGAACACCAGUGGCGAAGGCGACUUUCUGGUCUGUAACUGACACUG
Molecule: ribosomal RNA, 687 nt
Filed under: bacterium 23D11
Lineage: Bacteria
Description: bacterial SSU rRNA
Rfam family: Bacterial small subunit ribosomal RNA
Source: RNAcentral